GCUUUUUUUGCCCAGGCGGAGCUCGACCGCAAACCGAAGUGAUGGUGCAAUUUAUGCAGGAAAAUAAAGCAUUAGGGGUCGAGUCGAUGUGCAAGGAAUUAGCCAUCGCCCC
RNAcentral lists this non-coding RNA (112 nucleotides) under uncultured Cardiobacterium sp. Its description in RNAcentral is "ALIL pseudoknot". It matches the Rfam family "ALIL pseudoknot". Lineage: Bacteria; Pseudomonadati; Pseudomonadota; Gammaproteobacteria; Cardiobacteriales; Cardiobacteriaceae. The record is from RNAcentral.